UCAAGCGUGGUAAAUCGCUAUUUCGCUUUGGAGGCUGGGGCUUCGUCCGCCGGAAAAACCGGGCUCGCGCCCACUUCUCAGGUUGACCUCGGAUCAGGUAGGGAUACCCGCUGAACUUAAGCAUAUCAAUA
This 131-nucleotide ribosomal RNA is filed under the name [Coniosporium] sp. SL11032. RNAcentral describes it as "Coniosporium sp. SL11032 partial 28S ribosomal RNA". Lineage: Eukaryota; Fungi; Ascomycota; Eurotiomycetes; Chaetothyriales; Herpotrichiellaceae. The record is from RNAcentral.